CGCCCAGACUCCUACGGGAGGCAGCAGUGGGGGAUAUUGCACAAUGGGGGAAACCCUGAUGCAGCGACGCCGCGUGGGUGAAGAAGCGCCUCGGCGCGUAAAGCCCUGUCAGCAGGGAAGAAAAUGGCGGUACCUGAAGAAGAAGCCCCGGCUAACUACGUGCCAGCAGCCGCGGUAAUACGUAGGGGGCAAGCGUUAUCCGGAUUUACUGGGUGUAAAGGGAGCGUAGACGGCUGUGCAAGUCUGAAGUGAAGGCCCAGGGCUCAACCCUGGGACUGCUUUGGAAACUGUGGAGCUAGAGUGCUGGAGAGGUAAGUGGAAUUCCUAGUGUAGCGGUGAAAUGCGUAGAUAUUAGGAGGAACACCAGUGGCGAAGGCGGCUUACUGGACAGUAACUGACGUUGAGGCUCGAAAGCGUGGGGAGCAAACAGGAUUAGAUACCCCGGUA
Molecule: ribosomal RNA, 447 nt
Filed under: uncultured bacterium
Lineage: Bacteria
Description: partial 16S ribosomal RNA
Rfam family: Bacterial small subunit ribosomal RNA
Source: RNAcentral